Molecule: transfer RNA, 76 nt
Filed under: Candidatus Cloacimonetes bacterium 4572_55
Lineage: Bacteria; Pseudomonadati; Candidatus Cloacimonadota
Also listed under: 1 other name
Description: tRNA-Asn
Rfam family: tRNA
About the family: Transfer RNA (tRNA) molecules are approximately 80 nucleotides in length. Their secondary structure includes four short double-helical elements and three loops (D, anti-codon, and T loops).
Source: RNAcentral
UCCUCUGUAGCUCAAUCGGUAGAGCGAGUGGCUGUUAACCACUAGGUUGGGGGUUCAAGUCCCUCCGGGGGAGCCA